Molecule: long non-coding RNA, 1762 nt
Organism: Nymphaea colorata (pocket water lily)
Lineage: Eukaryota; Viridiplantae; Streptophyta; Magnoliopsida; Nymphaeales; Nymphaeaceae
Exons: 3
Source: RefSeq, a predicted model, not a curated record
CAGGCAACAACUGUAGUGUACAGUUCGCACUGUUGUCGUUGCUCUUCUUCUCCCCUUGCCGUUUCUACAAAUACACAUGCUCCCCUUCUUCUACAAAAUGUCGUUUUUGCCAUGCCCGUUGCAGCAGCUUACCCGCGGCCGAGAUGGUGUUCCCUGAGACUAAGAAGACGGGAACCCCGACUCUCACCGUCGUUUCCAGCCUCCCGUCACCCCUUCCACCACGGUGGCAGCAGCAUUGUCAAAGCACCGGUAAAAUUGGACAUACUAGAUUCCGGGGAGUACGUUGGACAUACGGAGGUUUCUUAAGCUCCAGAAAAAAUGAAUUUACACGAUACUUUUUCGGGAAAAAGUAACGGUACGACAAGAAACGUUUUAAAGGGCAAGGGCAACCAGCUAAGGGCCUGCCCUAGCCACGGAUUUAGACGGUAAAAAGCUUCGACGGUAGGACCGUGGGGCCGGGCGCUGACUAAUGACCGCUACCGUAGCUUUGCCUCGUCGCUGACAAAACAUCAGCGGCGUACACAAGCGAUACGGAGUAACGGCGAUAAGGCUUUCACCUCAACACUCUCCUUCCGGAAACGGAAAAGAUGGCUUCAAAAGAAGGCGGCGGAUCGUCCACCGAAAGCUGAAAAGAAAGGGAAAAAAAACAGAGAGCAAAGCUCCGCUAUUCUCCUCUUAAUCAGCCCCAUCAACUCGGGUUGGGUGGUGGAGAAGCCUAAAGUCGAGUUGGCAGGUCCCUUGUCCCUGCUAUAAAGAAGCGUGUGUGUGUGACGGUGAUAUGGACAAUCGUAUGAGGAGGUUGAUGAUGGAUAUGCACAGCAGCACAAGAGGAGACGGUGCACGUCCUGCUACGACCGUCGGCGUUUUCCUACAUGCGCCUCCCAAGGAAAAGAAGAGACCAUCUUCCAUCAUUAAUCCAACUAUGAGAGUGCAUUGAGUAUUGGACGCGGUUUUUGCUCCUAUCAGCCUUUCACCUCAUCAGCCCUUUUAUAAGGGGACCCGCAUUGUCUGACCAUAUCUCCUCCUACUCUGGCGGGUCAAUGGAUGUGUCACCUCUCCCCCCGGAGCACACCCUCUCGCCCUUCCUCCCCCUUCUCUCUCUCCAAGCCCUCCACCGGCUCCUCCCCGCCGACGUCCUCCAUGACUACCGCCAUUCCCUUCCCCUCGACGACCCCCCGCAUCUUGAAGCCAAGGAACUUUGAGGUAUUGGAGAUGCUCACCAGAUAUUUGAUAACCUGUCUCAAGGGAGAUACUAGAUUGCAGGCUAUUCUCAGACACAUGUUCCCAAGUGUACCACAUUUGGUAAGCGUAUCCCAAUUGGAGUGUCAAGUCGAAGUUUUCUUGUGGAUGAAUCCAUGAAGUGAAGGGUUUCGUUUUAUCAUUUAAUGUGCACUGUGGAGAUAGUAUGGAAGAUCACACAUCUGCGCAUAUUUUUGCGUGAGCUGCUUGGUCUCCUCAGGUUUGAAUAAAGGAUAAUCUGCUUCGUCAGGCUAUUUGGGCACAUUUGUGAAGUCAAAGGCAGAAGAUAAUCCAAUGUGUUACUGGUGCAUCUUUUUGGUUCUCGGUGCUUCAAGAAUGUCUGAUUGGUGUAACUUGACACCUGCUGCACAAAAGGGUGAUCUGUCCGCUAGUUUCAUGGGUGGAGAUGGACCACCUAGAGAUGCGAUCCUUAACUACAAAUAAGGGUGGCCGACCAGUAUUGUUUGUUCGGUGUUUAACAAGGAGCACGAGACCCACCGCUGCAAGACCGUGGCUUUCAGUG